This is a non-coding RNA of Schizosaccharomyces pombe (fission yeast), 1213 nucleotides long. NCBI's taxonomy places the organism in Eukaryota, Fungi, Ascomycota, Schizosaccharomycetes, Schizosaccharomycetales, Schizosaccharomycetaceae. The record is from the annotation of a GenBank genome assembly.
UUAAAAAAAAAGACAUAAAGAAAACCAUACCUCUAAUCCGACUAAUUGGCCGAUAACAAUACUGGUAUCGGACCGCUCUUGUUGCGAUUUUGAGCUUAAAAAUUCGACAAGGAUUUUUAGAGCGUAUAUUUCAGAAAGGAAAACUCUAUCUUGCUUGACAGAUAUGUCAAACAUAGAAGCUUUAUCCUCACCAAAAAGCUGCUCGUAAUCUUCUAAAGAUUUAUAGGGAGUAGUAGUUAUUUGUGAAUAAACGCCAGUUGAAUCAUGAAUUGAUAUAACUCCGCCAAUGUCAUUUAAAUAUAUAUCAGUAGUUUUUCCAUUAUCUAAAGAAUCAAGCUGACGCUCAUAUCGACACAUUAAACUGGCAAAUGCAUUACUGGAAGGACAAGAAGAGAUGCGAAAAGCAGGGUUCAGAGUAUCAAACAGUUCAGACUCCGCCAAUCCGGCAAUUGUCAAAAAAGUAUUAGACUUUUCUGCAUAAAAAAAAGAAGAAAGCUCAGAAUGACUGUGGAGCAUUUCAUUAAUAAUUUUUCUAGCACCGCUAUGUGAUUUCAGCUUGUGGAACCGUGAUACGCCCAGUUUAUGAGCAAAUACAAGCCUGGAAUCUGAAGGAGAAAUUGAAGGGACUUCAUUUUCAUUACCAGAGAGACCUGACAUAUAAACUGAAGCCUCAGUAUAUGAAACACCUAAAACUGGUUAAUAAACGCAAUCUAAAACUAUUUAGGACGAACCUGAGGCCAAAGCUAAUGUACAUCCACCGAUAAAGAAAAUAAAAUAUCUAAGGAGACUCAUACGUGUUUAUUUCGCAAGGAUGGUGGAGGGAAGCACUUCUGUAGUCCUUUUGUGGUAGAUCGCAGCUCCUUGGGUUACAACCAACGAAGUGUAAUUGCCAUUACUCUUCUGUGUUAAUACCUGGUACGUUUAGUCUUUAAAAAUUUGAUUUAAAAGAGGAUGUCGUGAAUAAUAGUUUCUCUCAUUUUAUUAAAUAAAACGACUCGUAUUUCGUUUAUUACUUUUUGUAUCUAAUGUAUAAAACUUCAUCUUUUUAUACUACUGGUCGAUAAGACGAUUUUUUAACAAUCCAAUGCUAUAAACUAAAUUCUUUUAUUAAACUUUUGCACCUUUACGUUGAAUCUUGUCUCAGGACUUCUUUUUUCCAUCCUACUUUAUAGUCCUUGAUUUGUUGUAGUGAUGCUGAUAUUCCUGCUGAUUU